ACCUGGAUCCGGGCCCCUCUGGCGACUUAGACGUGGUCGCGAUGUCGGAUCUCUUCA
Molecule: regulatory RNA element, 57 nt
Organism: Azospirillum sp. B510
Lineage: Bacteria; Pseudomonadati; Pseudomonadota; Alphaproteobacteria; Rhodospirillales; Azospirillaceae
Rfam family: terC RNA
Source: Rfam